CUAAAGCCGAGGAUGAAGUUUUUGUCUAAUCCUGAGGACAACUGAGAUGGUCUGCUGUCAAAUAAAGGCUAUGAGGGAGACAGAAGCUUCACCUUGGGAGCCCAUGGGAGUAACUAAAAGAAAAGACACUAUUGCCAGACACUGAUUUUAAAGGCAUCAGAGUUUUCUCGGAGAUCUGAGUUCAGGAGAGGAAAAAACAAACAAACAACUAUCAUUUUAUUAUUGAAAAGCAAAUGACAGAUAAGUGGACUCCAAGAAAAAUCCAGAAAACAUAGAUAUUCUACUAGAAUUCCUGGGAUCAGAUAAAUCAAUUGGUUGAAAAACUGGUCUCAAUGUAGCCUGAUACUCAGAAGUUGGCAUUCUCACAGAAAGAGUCAUUAAGUUACAGCUUGCAAGAUGGGAAAGGGAUCUUCUAACGACAGAGGGGGGUGACACCAGGGAUGUGCAUGUACAACUGACACAGAGAGAAGGUCGCUAUCUUCAAGCCAACAAGAGAAACCAAAACUGCCAACACCUUCAUCUUGGACUUCUGGGCUUCAGAACUGUGAAGAAAUAAAUGUCUGUGUUUAAGACAUUUAGUCUUUGGUAUCUUGCUAUGGCAACCUGAGCAGACUAAUAUACCACCUUAAGCCUUAUGCUGUGGUCAUACUUCCCACUGUUCUUGGAGUGCCUGGGUGGCUCAGCCAGUUAAGCGUCCGACUUCAGCUCAGGCCAUGAUCUCGAGGUUCAUGGGUUCCAGACCCACAUCAGGCUCUAUGCUGACAGCUAGGAGCCUGGAGCCUGCUUCAGAUUCUGUGUCUCCCUCUCUCUUUGCCCCUCCCCCACUUGCUCUC
Acinonyx jubatus (cheetah) is the source of this 833-nucleotide long non-coding RNA. RefSeq lists it as uncharacterized. The record is from RefSeq and is a predicted model, not a curated record. NCBI's taxonomy places the organism in Eukaryota, Metazoa, Chordata, Mammalia, Carnivora, Felidae. The transcript is spliced from 5 exons.